CCUACGGGUGACAGCAGUGGGGGAUAUUGGGCAAUGGGCGCAACCCUGACCCAGCAACGCCGCGUGAAGGAAGAAGGCUUUCGGGUUGUAAACCUCUUUUACAGGGGAAGAGCAGAAGGCGGUACCCUGAAAACAACCCACGGCUAACUACGUCCCACCAGCCGCGGAAAUACGUAGGUGCGAAGCGUUUCCCGGAUUUACUGGGUGUAAAGGGCGUGUAGCCGGGAAGGGAAGUCAGAUGUGAAACCUGGGGGCUCAACCUGCAAACUGCAUUUGAAACUGUUUUGCUUGAGUACUGGAGAGGCAGACGGAAUUCCUUGUGUAGCGGUGAAAUGCGUAGAUAUAAGGAGGAACACCAGUGGCGAAGGCGGUCUGCUGGACAGUAACUGACGGUGAGGCGCGAAAGCGUGGGGAGCAAACAGGAUUAGAUACCCGUGUAGUC
RNAcentral lists this ribosomal RNA (442 nucleotides) under uncultured bacterium. Its description in RNAcentral is "partial 16S ribosomal RNA". It matches the Rfam family "Bacterial small subunit ribosomal RNA", at positions 338 to 795 of the family's 1533-position model. The record is from RNAcentral.